CCCUUAGAUGUUCUGGGCUGCACGCGCGCUACACUGAUGCGUUCAACGAGUUUUUAGCUUAUCUGAUAAGAUUGGCUAAUCUUCUGAAAACGCAUCGUGAUGGGGAUAGAUUAUUGCAAUUAUUAAUCUUCAACGAGGAAUGCCUAGUAAGCGCAAGUCAUCAGCUUGCGUUGAUUACGUCCCUGCCCUUUGUACACACCGCCCGUCGCUCCUACCGAUUGAAUGGUCCGGUGAAGCGUUCGGACCGCUUCCUUUGGACGGGCAACCGUCUGUUGGUCGUGGGAAGUUCGUUAAACCUUAUCAUUUAGAGGAAGGAGAAGUCGUAACA
This 328-nucleotide ribosomal RNA is filed under the name uncultured eukaryote. Its description in RNAcentral is "partial 18S ribosomal RNA". It matches the Rfam family "Eukaryotic small subunit ribosomal RNA", at positions 1470 to 1796 of the family's 1831-position model. The record is from RNAcentral.